Molecule: long non-coding RNA, 6673 nt
Filed under: Homo sapiens (human)
Lineage: Eukaryota; Metazoa; Chordata; Mammalia; Primates; Hominidae
Description: long non-coding RNA NONHSAT075914.2
Source: RNAcentral
GCAUUGGUGAGGGGGCGCGGGCUGCUUGGCCAGGGCAGUUCCCUCAGCUCCGGGUUGGAGCCGGAGCCGGAGCCGGAUCCCGCGCACACCGCCACGUCAACCUAAACCUACACCGCCCUCUCCACCCCACCGCCGCAGCGCCCGCUGGGCCCGCAGCGGGUCUCCCCAGGCAGCGUCCUCCACGCCUUUCCCACAAUGCUCCGCGCCAGGCCCCGCCCCGGCUCGCCGUGGAGACCGGCGCGUGAGGAACCUACCGGUACCGGCCGCGCGCUGGUAGUCGCCGGUGUGGCUGCACCUCACCAAUCCCGUGCGCCGCGGCUGGGCCGUCGGAGAGUGCGUGUGCUUCUCUCCUGCACGCGGUGCUUGGGCUCGGCCAGGCGGGGUCCGCCGCCAGGGUUUGAGGAUGGGGGAGUAGCUACAGGAAGCGACCCCGCGAUGGCAAGGUAUAUUUUUGUGGAAUGAAAAGGAAGUAUUAGAAAUGAGCUGAAGACCAUUCACAGAUUAAUAUUUUUGGGGACAGAUUUGUGAUGCUUGAUUCACCCUUGAAGUAAUGUAGACAGAAGUUCUCAAAUUUGCAUAUUACAUCAACUGGAACCAGCAGUGAAUCUUAAUGUUCACUUAAAUCAGAACUUGCAUAAGAAAGAGAAUGGGAGUCUGGUUAAAUAAAGAUGACUAUAUCAGAGACUUGAAAAGGAUCAUUCUCUGUUUUCUGAUAGUGUAUAUGGCCAUUUUAGUGGGCACAGAUCAGGAUUUUUACAGUUUACUUGGAGUGUCCAAAACUGCAAGCAGUAGAGAAAUAAGACAAGCUUUCAAGAAAUUGGCAUUGAAGUUACAUCCUGAUAAAAACCCGAAUAACCCAAAUGCACAUGGCGAUUUUUUAAAAAUAAAUAGAGCAUAUGAAGUACUCAAAGAUGAAGAUCUACGGAAAAAGUAUGACAAAUAUGGAGAAAAGGGACUUGAGGAUAAUCAAGGUGGCCAGUAUGAAAGCUGGAACUAUUAUCGUUAUGAUUUUGGUAUUUAUGAUGAUGAUCCUGAAAUCAUAACAUUGGAAAGAAGAGAAUUUGAUGCUGCUGUUAAUUCUGGAGAACUGUGGUUUGUAAAUUUUUACUCCCCAGGCUGUUCACACUGCCAUGAUUUAGCUCCCACAUGGAGAGACUUUGCUAAAGAAGUGGAUGGGUUACUUCGAAUUGGAGCUGUUAACUGUGGUGAUGAUAGAAUGCUUUGCCGAAUGAAAGGAGUCAACAGCUAUCCCAGCCUCUUCAUUUUUCGGUCUGGAAUGGCCCCAGUGAAAUAUCAUGGAGACAGAUCAAAGGAGAGUUUAGUGAGUUUUGCAAUGCAGCAUGUUAGAAGUACAGUGACAGAACUUUGGACAGGAAAUUUUGUCAACUCCAUACAAACUGCUUUUGCUGCUGGUAUUGGCUGGCUGAUCACUUUUUGUUCAAAAGGAGGAGAUUGUUUGACUUCACAGACACGACUCAGGCUUAGUGGCAUGUUGGAUGGUCUUGUUAAUGUAGGAUGGAUGGACUGUGCCACCCAGGAUAACCUUUGUAAAAGCUUAGAUAUUACAACAAGUACUACUGCUUAUUUUCCUCCUGGAGCCACUUUAAAUAACAAAGAGAAAAACAGUAUUUUGCUGCUUCAUUGAGAGAAUCAGACCAGCAGAGAGAGAGAGUUAUAUGACAAAAUAUGCUGAGGAUAAAAUAUUGACAAAUAAAGAAGAUUUGUUAGAAGGGCCUUUUAUACUCGUUUGUGUUUUAAAUAAGAGACUCGGGCCGAAAACAAGUUUAAGAUAAGAUCUGUAUCAUUGUAUUUUACUCUAAAAACUCCUAAGUGGUUUGGUUUUUAGAUGAAAACCUCUAUAAUGAGCAAAAGUCCAUUCCAAUUUUCCACUUCUAAGUUCCUCUUAAUUAAUCUUAAUUAUUGGUUGGGGAAUGAAGUGUCUUUGAUAGUCUAUUAUUCUUCCUUCUAGUGUUAUAAAAAUUCUUAAGUGAAUGUGUAAAACAUUGGCAUUCUGUAAAACAUGAUUAGCAUUAAAAUUAAGCUAAAGAUAAUGUGGUUUUUCUUGAUGAUUGGGAGGUCACUCAGGAUUUUUCUGAGCAUUUUUAUAGAAUACACAUCAUAGUUAAUUAAAAAUUCCAGUUAAUGCAACAUCUUAUAAUGGAAUUUAUUGUAUAUCACUAUUUAAGAAACAGCUUAGUUAUAUAAUAUUUUUGAUAAUUGCCAAAAUACACUUUUUUUGAAAAAAGACAUUUGGAAUUGUUUGAAAAACUAUUUACCUUCUAUAAUCAUUUUCCUAAAAAUACUACAUUGGAAAUUGAAAAAACAAAAGAUAUCAAAUAUAAUGAAUAUUUAUUCAAAAAGAUUACAAUGUGAUUUUCUUUUUCUAGUUUCUCAACUCAUUGGAUGCUAAAGAAAUAUAUUUGGAAGUAAUACAUAAUCUUCCAGAUUUUGAACUACUUUCGGCAAACACACUAGAGGAUCGUUUGGCUCAUCAUCGGUGGCUGUUAUUUUUUCAUUUUGGAAAAAAUGAAAAUUCAAAUGAUCCUGAGCUGAAAAAACUAAAAACUCUACUUAAAAAUGAUCAUAUUCAAGUUGGCAGGUUUGACUGUUCCUCUGCACCAGACAUCUGUAGUAAUCUGUAUGUUUUUCAGCCGUCUCUAGCAGUAUUUAAAGGACAAGGAACCAAAGAAUAUGAAAUUCAUCAUGGAAAGAAGAUUCUAUAUGAUAUACUUGCCUUUGCCAAAGAAAGUGUGAAUUCUCAUGUUACCACGCUUGGACCUCAAAAUUUUCCUGCCAAUGACAAAGAACCAUGGCUUGUUGAUUUCUUUGCCCCCUGGUGUCCACCAUGUCGAGCUUUACUACCAGAGUUACGAAGAGCAUCAAAUCUUCUUUAUGGUCAGCUUAAGUUUGGUACACUAGAUUGUACAGUUCAUGAGGGACUCUGUAACAUGUAUAACAUUCAGGCUUAUCCAACAACAGUGGUAUUCAACCAGUCCAACAUUCAUGAGUAUGAAGGACAUCACUCUGCUGAACAAAUCUUGGAGUUCAUAGAGGAUCUUAUGAAUCCUUCAGUGGUCUCCCUUACACCCACCACCUUCAACGAACUAGUUACACAAAGAAAACACAACGAAGUCUGGAUGGUUGAUUUCUAUUCUCCGUGGUGUCAUCCUUGCCAAGUCUUAAUGCCAGAAUGGAAAAGAAUGGCCCGGACAUUAACUGGACUGAUCAACGUGGGCAGUAUAGAUUGCCAACAGUAUCAUUCUUUUUGUGCCCAGGAAAACGUUCAAAGAUACCCUGAGAUAAGAUUUUUUCCCCCAAAAUCAAAUAAAGCUUAUCAUUAUCACAGUUACAAUGGUUGGAAUAGGGAUGCUUAUUCCCUGAGAAUCUGGGGUCUAGGAUUUUUACCUCAAGUAUCCACAGAUCUAACACCUCAGACUUUCAGUGAAAAAGUUCUACAAGGGAAAAAUCAUUGGGUGAUUGAUUUCUAUGCUCCUUGGUGUGGACCUUGCCAGAAUUUUGCUCCAGAAUUUGAGCUCUUGGCUAGGAUGAUUAAAGGAAAAGUGAAAGCUGGAAAAGUAGACUGUCAGGCUUAUGCUCAGACAUGCCAGAAAGCUGGGAUCAGGGCCUAUCCAACUGUUAAAUUUUAUUUCUACGAAAGAGCAAAGAGAAAUUUUCAAGAAGAGCAGAUAAAUACCAGAGAUGCAAAAGCAAUCGCUGCCUUAAUAAGUGAAAAAUUGGAAACUCUCCGAAAUCAAGGCAAGAGGAAUAAGGAUGAACUUUGAUAAUGUUGAAGAUGAAGAAAAAGUUUAAAAGAAAUUCUGACAGAUGACAUCAGAAGACACCUAUUUAGAAUGUUACAUUUAUGAUGGGAAUGAAUGAACAUUAUCUUAGACUUGCAGUUGUACUGCCAGAAUUAUCUACAGCACUGGUGUAAAAGAAGGGUCUGCAAACUUUUUCUGUAAAGGGCCGGUUUAUAAAUAUUUUAGACUUUGCAGGCUAUAAUAUAUGGUUCACACAUGAGAACAAGAAUAGAGUCAUCAUGUAUUCUUUGUUAUUUGCUUUUAACAACCUUUAAAAAAUAUUAAAACGAUUCUUAGCUCAGAGCCAUACAAAAGUAGGCUGGAUUCAGUCCAUGGACCAUAGAUUGCUGUCCCCCUCGACGGACUUAUAAUGUUUCAGGUGGCUGGCUUGAACAUGAGUCUGCUGUGCUAUCUACAUAAAUGUCUAAGUUGUAUAAAGUCCACUUUCCCUUCACGUUUUUUGGCUGACCUGAAAAGAGGUAACUUAGUUUUUGGUCACUUGUUCUCCUAAAAAUGCUAUCCCUAACCAUAUAUUUAUAUUUCGUUUUAAAAACACCCAUGAUGUGGCACAGUAAACAAACCCUGUUAUGCUGUAUUAUUAUGAGGAGAUUCUUCAUUGUUUUCUUUCCUUCUCAAAGGUUGAAAAAAUGCUUUUAAUUUUUCACAGCCGAGAAACAGUGCAGCAGUAUAUGUGCACACAGUAAGUACACAAAUUUGAGCAACAGUAAGUGCACAAAUUCUGUAGUUUGCCGUAUCAUCCAGGAAAACCUGAGGGAAAAAAAUUAUAGCAAUUAACUGGGCAUUGUAGAGUAUCCUAAAUAUGUUAUCAAGUAUUUAGAGUUCUAUAUUUUAAAGAUAUAUGUGUUCAUGUAUUUUCUGAAAUUGCUUUCAUAGAAAUUUUCCCACUGAUAGUUGAUUUUUGAGGCAUCUAAUAUUUACAUAUUUGCCUUCUGAACUUUGUUUUGACCUGUAUCCUUUAUUUACAUUGGGUUUUUCUUUCGUAGUUUUGGUUUUUCACUCCUGUCCAGUCUAUUUAUUAUUCAAAUAGGAAAAAUUACUUUACAGGUUGUUUUACUGUAGCUUAUAAUGAUACUGUAGUUAUUCCAGUUACUAGUUUACUGUCAGAGGGCUGCCUUUUUCAGAUAAAUAUUGACAUAAUAACUGAAGUUAUUUUUAUAAGAAAAUCAAGUAUAUAAAUCUAGGAAAGGGAUCUUCUAGUUUCUGUGUUGUUUAGACUCAAAGAAUCACAAAUUUGUCAGUAACAUGUAGUUGUUUAGUUAUAAUUCAGAGUGUACAGAAUGGUAAAAAUUCCAAUCAGUCAAAAGAGGUCAAUGAAUUAAAAGGCUUGCAACUUUUUCAAAAACCUGUUAGAAUAUGCUUUAUUGUGUUUUGAGGAGUUUUCCUUUUUUUCUUUUCAAUAUCACUUUAUCCUGCUCACCAGUAUUUCCUCAUAAGGGUUAUUAUAGCCAUAAUUAAUGUUAAAAUAGACUUUGUUCUUCAUAUUCUCCCAUCUUUUUCGCUACUAUAUACUCUGUCUGGAUUCUGCUGUAUGCCUGUUGGCAUAUAUGGAACAGUCACCACUUGUCACACUUAACACCAGCUUUUUGAAUUAUGAUCAGUAAUGGCAAGAGCCUUUCAUUCUCGAAUGUUUAAAGCCUAGGAGUUCUACAAAAUUGGCUUCUUUCUACAAGAAUCCCAAAAUGGAAUGCCUAAAGAAGUCUUACUUGGGUAAAUACUUACUAAAAUAUACUGGUUAUGUGCAUAUCACCACACUGGACACUGAGGAGUGUUCAAAAGGAAUCUAAGACAUGGUCCCCAUCUUCCAACUGUCUGUAAUUCACUGUUUUGUCAUUGAGCUCAUAAGGUACUUACAUUACUACCUAUAAAUGUUUCCUGUACUUGUUAGUUGUUGAGAAACAUUUUAGGCAGUAAAUAAAAUAGUAAAUAUUAUGUGUCCUAUAAUUUGACCUAAGCUGUGUGCCUUUGGAAUCAGCUCUAAGCCAGGGCCCCCUGGGAGUCAUGUUAAGAAACACGUAUCAUAAAGUGACAUACAUCAAGGUUAUCUUAUAUAGUCAUAACAGUAUUAUUGGGUCUUUCAAAAACAGCUGGCAGAUUGAGCUUUUAAUGGCUAUAUUGAUACAGUAGAUAGAGCACCUCUAAGGAGUACCAGGUAUAAUGUGCCAUUUCUCUCAGCAACACCAUUUUUGUGUGCAGCUGACCCUCUAACAUGGUAUCAAUUCUAGCUGACCAAAGCACAUUCUAUCAGGCAGCCAGGCUUGGAAAUUAGGUCCAUUUAAAGUAUGUGGCUUACAGUCAGGUAUGGUGGUGUGCGCCUAUUGUCCCAUCUACUUGAGAGGCUGAGGCAGGAGGGAUUGCUUGGGCUCAGGAUUUUGAAUCCAGCCUGGGCAACAUAGCAAGACCCCAUCUCUAAUAAAUAAAUUAUGUUUUGGGCAUUAAUGAUGUUUGUCUAUUCUGAUUUCUCAAAUUUUAUUUAGGUCUUUCAUAGCUUUUUUAUUUAAAGGUAUAUGAUUAAGAUAAAGGAAAAGUAAAAUGAAAUGUUUAUGUAAUUUUAUAUUCUCAAAAUUUUCUUUAAAUUUGCUCUGUUUUCUGACAGUGCUCAAAGUGGGAAUUUUUUUAGAAGUACGGUUAUCAAAAAAACACAUUUCCUAUGGGACACACAUUUCAAAGAUGUUUAGUACGAUAAAAUUUUUAGUAAAAGGGUAGCACUUUUAAGUCAUUUGAAUAGAAUAUUUGUGUAAUAUUUAGUCUAGUGUUAGUCCUUAAAUCUGCCAACAAAACCAGAUAGAUGUCUUAAAGUAGGCACAUUUAUUCCAUUGUGACUGUUAAGAAAUAAUAAAAGAUUAAAUUAACAA